CAAGGAAUUUUCGGCAAUGGGCGCAAGCCUGACCGAGCAACGCCGCGUGGUGGAUGACGGCCUUCGGGUUGUAAACACCUUUUCGAGGGGAAGACAUCGACGGUACCCUCGGAAUAAGCCCCGGCUAACUCUGUGCCAGCAGCCGCGGUAAGACAGAGGGGGCAAGCGUUGUCCGGAGUUACUGGGCGUAAAGCGCACGCAGGCGGCCUGGCGCGUGUGGGGUGAAAGCCCUGGGCUUAACCCAGGGUGGCCCCCGCAUACGGCCAGGCUCGAGCCCGGGAGAGGUCCCUCGAAUUGCCGGUGUAGUGGUGAAAUGCGUAGAGAUCGGCAGGAAGACCAAGGGGGAAGCCAGGGGACUGGCCCGGUGCUGACGCUCAGGUGCGACAGCGUGGGGAGCGAACCGG
This 404-nucleotide ribosomal RNA is filed under the name Actinomycetes bacterium. RNAcentral's name for it is "Actinobacteria bacterium partial 16S ribosomal RNA". It matches the Rfam family "Bacterial small subunit ribosomal RNA", at positions 355 to 776 of the family's 1533-position model. Lineage: Bacteria; Bacillati; Actinomycetota; Actinomycetes. The record is from RNAcentral.